GGAUUCCUUCGGGGCUGGGUGAAAUUCCCAACCGGCGGUGAUGAGGGUGACCUCUUAGUCCGUGACCCGUUUUCAAAUGUUGAAAACGGUGGAUUUGGUGAAAUUCCAAAGCCGACAGUUAAAGUCUGGAUGGGAGAAGGAAUGA
Molecule: non-coding RNA, 145 nt
Filed under: Bacillus sp. (in: firmicutes)
Lineage: Bacteria; Bacillati; Bacillota; Bacilli; Caryophanales; Bacillaceae
Description: Bacillus sp. FMN sequence
Rfam family: FMN riboswitch aptamer (RFN element)
About the family: The RFN element is a highly conserved domain that is found frequently in the 5'-untranslated regions of prokaryotic mRNAs that encode for flavin mononucleotide (FMN) biosynthesis and transport proteins. This element is a metabolite-dependent riboswitch that directly binds FMN in the absence of proteins. In Bacillus subtilis, the riboswitch most likely controls gene expression by causing premature transcription termination within the 5' untranslated region of the ribDEAHT operon and precluding access to the ribosome-binding site of ypaA mRNA.
Source: RNAcentral